RNAcentral lists this ribosomal RNA (623 nucleotides) under Clostridioides difficile. RNAcentral's name for it is "bacterial LSU rRNA". It matches the Rfam family "Bacterial large subunit ribosomal RNA", at positions 161 to 788 of the family's 2925-position model. The record is from RNAcentral. Lineage: Bacteria; Bacillati; Bacillota; Clostridia; Peptostreptococcales; Peptostreptococcaceae.
AAUACAUAGCUUAAUGAGGGGAACUCAGGGAACUGAAACAUCUAAGUACCUGAAGGAAGAGAAAGAAAUUCGAUUCCGUAAGUAGCGGCGAGCGAACGCGGAUUAGCCCAAACCAAUAAAGUUUUCUUUAUUGGGGUUGCGGACAUAUCAUAACGAAGAGGUAUCGUAAUUGAAGAGGUUUGGAAAGACCCACCACAGAAGGUAAUAGUCCUGUAUGUUAAACGAGAAGACGUUAGAUAUGAUCCAGAGUACCACGGGACACGUGAAACCCUGUGGGAAGCAGGAGGGACCACCCUCCAAGGCUAAAUACUACCUAGUGACCGAUAGCGUAUAGUACCGUGAGGGAAAGGUGAAAAGAACCCCGGGAGGGGAGUGAAAGAGAACCUGAAACCCUGCACUUACAAGCUGUGGAAGCACAUUUCUUGUGGGACCGCGUACUUUUUGUAGAACGGGCCAACGAGUUACGUUAAGUAGCAAGGUUAAGCACUUAAGGUGCGGAGCCGUAGCGAAAGCGAGUUUUAACUGAGCGUUCAGUUACUUGACGUAGACCCGAAACCGGGCGACCUACCCAUGAGCAGGAUGAAGCGAAAGUAAAAUUUCGUGGAGGUCCGAACCCACGAGCG